UACGGGGGGGGUAAGCGUUGUUCGGAAUUACUGGGCGUAAAGGGCUCGUAGGCGGCCAACUAAGUCAGACGUGAAAUCCCUCGGCUUAACCGGGGAACUGCGUCUGAUACUGGAUGGCUUGAGAUUGGGAGAGGGAUGCGGAAUUCCAGGUGUAGCGGUGAAAUGCGUAGAUAUCUGGAGGAACACCGGUGGCGAAGGCGGCAUCCUGGACCAACACUGACACUGAGGAGCGAAAGCCAGGGGAGCAAACGGG
Molecule: ribosomal RNA, 253 nt
Filed under: uncultured bacterium
Lineage: Bacteria
Description: partial 16S ribosomal RNA
Rfam family: Bacterial small subunit ribosomal RNA
Source: RNAcentral